UCUAAUAUGGCAGAACAGUGCAAUGGACUUAAACCCCAUAUACAAAGGUUGAUCUUUUUUUAGAA
RNAcentral lists this transfer RNA (65 nucleotides) under Hycleus phaleratus. Its description in RNAcentral is "tRNA-Leu". It matches the Rfam family "tRNA". Rfam says of the family: Transfer RNA (tRNA) molecules are approximately 80 nucleotides in length. Their secondary structure includes four short double-helical elements and three loops (D, anti-codon, and T loops). Further hydrogen bonds mediate the characteristic L-shaped molecular structure. tRNAs have two regions of fundamental functional importance: the anti-codon, which is responsible for specific mRNA codon recognition, and the 3' end, to which the tRNAs corresponding amino acid is attached (by aminoacyl-tRNA synthetases). tRNAs cope with the degeneracy of the genetic code in two manners: having more than one tRNA (with a specific anti-codon) for a particular amino acid; and 'wobble' base-pairing, i.e. permitting non-standard base-pairing at the 3rd anti-codon position. RNAcentral also lists the same sequence under 1 other name. The record is from RNAcentral. Lineage: Eukaryota; Metazoa; Arthropoda; Insecta; Coleoptera; Meloidae.